CAGUAGCCACGGGAAUACGUAGGGUGCAAGCGUUAAUCGGAAUUACUGGGCGUAAAGCGUGCGCAGGCGGUUUGUUAAGACAGAUGUGAAAUCCCCGGGCUUAACCUGGGAACUGCAUUUGUGACUGGCGAGCUAGAGUAUGGCAGAGGGGGGUAGAAUUCCACGUGUAGCAGUGAAAUGCGUAGAGAUGUGGAGGAAUACCGAUGGCGAAGGCAGCCCCCUGGGCCAAUACUGACGCUCAUGCACGAAAGCGUGGGGAGCAAACAGGAUUAGAUACCCGCGUAGUCCCUGUCUCUUAUAC
RNAcentral lists this ribosomal RNA (301 nucleotides) under uncultured bacterium. RNAcentral's name for it is "partial 16S ribosomal RNA". It matches the Rfam family "Bacterial small subunit ribosomal RNA", at positions 509 to 807 of the family's 1533-position model. The record is from RNAcentral.